UACGUAGGGCGCAAGCGUUAUCCGGAAUUAUUGGGCGUAAAGAGCUCGUAGGCGGUUUGUCGCGUCGGCCGUGAAAUCUCCACGCUUAACGUGGAGCGUGCGGUCGAUACGGGCAGACUUGAGUUCGGCAGGGGAGACUGGAAUUCCUGGUGUAGCGGUGAAAUGCGCAGAUAUCAGGAGGAACACCGGUGGCGAAGGCGGGUCUCUGGGCCGAUACUGACGCUGAGGAGCGAAAGCGUGGGGAGCGAACAGG
Molecule: ribosomal RNA, 253 nt
Filed under: uncultured bacterium
Lineage: Bacteria
Description: partial 16S ribosomal RNA
Rfam family: Bacterial small subunit ribosomal RNA
Source: RNAcentral